RNAcentral lists this unclassified non-coding RNA (236 nucleotides) under Melitaea cinxia (Glanville fritillary). Its description in RNAcentral is "misc RNA ENSMCXG00005020745.1". The record is from RNAcentral. Lineage: Eukaryota; Metazoa; Arthropoda; Insecta; Lepidoptera; Nymphalidae.
GGGAGUGUGGGGCUCCCGGCGGUAGGUGCAAUGCCGGACUACCCACUAAAAACCAGCGGUGUCCACCUUCGUCGCCCGUGCCGGGGUCGCAGGAAUCCAGGAUCGUCUGCAAACCCCGGCGGUUCAAUGAUAGUGAUCUGUGACAACCCUUGACAACAGAGGAAAAAUUAUCAGCAUGACACAAUGUCCACGCCUAUCGCAUUCCACACCUGGACAUAGCCCUCCACAAGAUCGCG